GGGGCGCCUGUGGGAGCCGUGGAGGGAACUUUCCCAGUCCCCGAGGCGGAUCCGGUGUUGCAUCCUUGGAGCGAGCUGAGAGCUCGAGAGACGGGGAUUUAGCUAUGUUGCCCAAGCUGGUCUGGAACUCCGGAGCUCAAGCAGUCCGCCCGCCUUGGCCCCCCAAAGCGCUGGAAUUACAGGCGUAAUGCACUGUGCCUGGCCUUUAAAAAAAAAUUGAGGUUAUUUUGGGGACAGUAGAGCGUCCAGACACAUCCUAAUUUGCAUAGCUGCGCAGUUUUAAAAAAUGCAAUGCAUUUUUACCUGUUAGGUACAGAACCUGCUAAGGCCAUCAAACCUAUUGAUCGGAAGUCAGUCCAUCAGAUUUGCUCUGGGCCGGUGGUACCGAGUCUAAGCACUGCGGUGAAGGAGUUAGUAGAAAACAGUCUGGAUGCUGGUGCCACUAAUAUUGAUCUAAAGCUUAAGGACUAUGGAGUGGAUCUCAUUGAAGUUUCAGGCAAUGGAUGUGGGGUAGAAGAAGAAAACUUCGAAGGCUUAACUCUGAAACAUCACACAUCUAAGAUUCAAGAGUUUGCCGACCUACCUCAGGUUGAAACUUUUGGCUUUCGGGGGGAAGCUCUGAGCUCACUUUGUGCACUGAGUGAUGUCACCAUUUCUACCUGCCAUGUAUCGGCGAAGGUUGGGACUCGACUGGUGUUUGAUCACUAUGGGAAAAUCAUCCAGAAAACCCCCUACCCCCACCCCAGAGGGAUGACAGUCAGUGUGAAGCAGUUAUUUUCUACGCUACCUGUGCACCAUAAAGAAUUUCAAAGGAAUAUUAAGAAGUGAGUGAGCGCUCAUGGGAUCUGGUUGUUUAGAAGCAUGCACCACCUCCCGCUUCACUCUCUCUGUCUCUCCUGCUCCACCAUGGCCAGAAACGUGCCUGCUUCCCCUUCGCCUUCUGCCGUGAUUGUCAGUUUCCUGAGGCCUCCCCAGCCAUGCUUCCUGUACAGCCUGCAGAACUGACUCCUAGAAGUACCCCACCCCACCCCUGCUCCUUGGAGGACAACGUGAUCACUGUAUUCAGCUCUGUCAAGAAUGGUCCAGGUUCUUCUAGAUGAUCUGCACAAAUGGCUCCUCUCCUCCUUCCUGAUGUCUGCCAUUAGCACUGGAAUAAAGUUCCUGCUGAAAAUCCA
Long non-coding RNA from Homo sapiens (human), 1175 nucleotides. Lineage: Eukaryota; Metazoa; Chordata; Mammalia; Primates; Hominidae. The record is from Ensembl.